RNAcentral lists this ribosomal RNA (497 nucleotides) under uncultured bacterium. RNAcentral describes it as "partial 16S ribosomal RNA". It matches the Rfam family "Bacterial small subunit ribosomal RNA", at positions 28 to 507 of the family's 1533-position model. The record is from RNAcentral.
GAUGAACGCUGGCGGCGUGCCUAAUACAUGCAAGUCGAGCGAACGGACGAGAAGCUUGUUUCUCUGAUGUUAGCGGCGGACGGGUGAGUAACACGUGGAUAACCUACCUAUAAGACUGGGAUAACUUCGGGAAACCGGAGCUAAUACCGGAUGAUAUUUUGAACCGCAUGGUUCAAUAGUGAAAGACGGUCUUGCUGUCAGUUAUAGAUGUAUCCGCGCUGCAUUAGCUAGUUGGUAAGGUAACGGCCUACCAAGGCAACGAUGCGUAGCCGACCUGAGAGGGGGGUCGGCCACAUUGGAACUGAAACAGGGACCAGACUCCUACGGUAGGCAGCAGAGGGGAAUCUUCCGCAGUGGGCGAAAGCCUGACGGGGCAACGCCGCGCGAGUUAUGAAGGUCUUCGGAUCGUAAAACUCUGUUAUUAGGGAAGAACAUAUGUGUAAGGAACUGUGCAGAUCUUGACGGUACCUAAUCAGAAAGCCACGGCUAACUACGUG